RNAcentral lists this ribosomal RNA (421 nucleotides) under uncultured bacterium. RNAcentral's name for it is "partial 16S ribosomal RNA". It matches the Rfam family "Bacterial small subunit ribosomal RNA", at positions 360 to 773 of the family's 1533-position model. The record is from RNAcentral.
AAUUUUUGACAAUGGGGGCAACCCUGAUCCAGCCAUCCCGCGUGUUCGAUGAAGGCCUUCGGGUUGUAAAGCACUUUUGGCAGAAAAGAAAUCGCGCGGACUAAUAUCCUGCGUGGAUGACGAUACCUGUAGAAUAAGCCACGGCUAACUACGUGCCAGAAGCCGCGGUAAUACGUAGGGUGCAAGCGUUAAUCGGAAUUACUGGGCGUAAAGGGUGCGCAGGCGGUUCGGAAAGAAGGAUGUGAAAUCCCAGGGCUCAACCUUGGAAUGGCAUUCUUAACUACCGGGCUAGAGUGUGUCAGAGGGGGGUGGAAUUCCGCGUGUAGCAGUGAAAUGCGUAGAGAUGCGGAGGAACACCGAUGGCGAAGGCAGCCCCCUGGGAUAACACUGACGCUCAGGCACGAAAGCGUGGGUAGCAAAC